Molecule: ribosomal RNA, 253 nt
Filed under: uncultured bacterium
Lineage: Bacteria
Description: partial 16S ribosomal RNA
Rfam family: Bacterial small subunit ribosomal RNA
Source: RNAcentral
UACGGGGGGGGCAAGCGUUGUUCGGAAUUACUGGGCGUAAAGCGCAUGUAGGCGGCCUAGCAGGUCGGAUGUGAAAUCCCUCGGCUCAACCAAGGAAGUGCAUUCGAAACCGCAAGGCUCGAGUCCCGGAGAGGAUGGUGGAAUUCUCGGUGUAGAGGUGAAAUUCGUAGAUAUCGAGAGGAACACCGGCGGCGAAGGCGGCCAUCUGGACGAGGACUGACGCUGAGAUGCGAAAGCGUGGGGAGCGAACAGG